GGCUGCACGCGCGCUACACUGACAAGACAGCAAGUAUACAACCUUGGCCGAAAGGUCUGGGCAAUCUUUUGAAUCUUUGUCGUGCUGGGGAUAGACCAUUGCAAUUAUUGGUCUUCAACGAGGAAUUCCUAGUAAGCGCAAGUCAUCAGCUUGCGUUGAUUACGUCCCUGCCCUUUGUACACACCGCCCGUCGCUACUUCCGAUCGAAUUGCUUAGUGAGGCCUCCAGAUUGGGGCACUAGUCUCGAGAAGCUGGUCAAACUUGGUAAUUUAGAGGAAGUAAAAGUCGUAACAAGGUUUCCGUAGGUGAACCUGCGGAAGGAUCAUUAACAAAUCGAACUCAUAAGCCCGGCCGCGAGGCCUGGAUAUUUACGCGUGUUUGUGUGACUGUUUUUAAUUGAUAAAUAUACAACUUUUAACAAUGGAUCUCUUGGCUCUUGCAACGAUGAAGAACGCAGUGAAAUGCGAAAAUUAAUGCGAUUUGCAUGAAUCUGUGAGUCAUCUAGUCUUUGAACGCACCUUGCACCCAGUGCGCAAGCUCUGGGUAUGCCUGUUUGAGAAUCGCAAACAUCCUCAACCUUGGUCUAGGUUGGACGUGGCCUCUGUCAGAGGCUGGAAUUGAGAAGGCGAGGCCCAUAGGUUAGCUAGCUUCAUAGUGUGCCAGAGCGUCACUGUGGCUAGCGACCCGUUGGGGCACCAAGCCUCUUAUUAUUAUAUUACUCUAUUAUUGAUCUCAAAUCAGGCAAGGCUACCCGCUGAACUUAA
Molecule: ribosomal RNA, 764 nt
Filed under: uncultured fungus
Lineage: Eukaryota; Fungi
Description: bacterial SSU rRNA
Rfam family: Eukaryotic small subunit ribosomal RNA (bases 1-328)
Source: RNAcentral